This 459-nucleotide ribosomal RNA is filed under the name uncultured Campylobacterota bacterium. RNAcentral's name for it is "bacterial SSU rRNA". It matches the Rfam family "Bacterial small subunit ribosomal RNA", at positions 32 to 502 of the family's 1533-position model. Lineage: Bacteria; Pseudomonadati; Campylobacterota. The record is from RNAcentral.
AACGCUGGCGGCGUGCUUAACACAUGCAAGUCGAACGAGAACGGGCUUUAGUUUACUAAAGUUGUCAGCUAAGUGGCGCACGGGUGAGUAAUAUAUAGUUAAUCUGCCCUAGAGAGAGGGAUAACGUUUGGAAACGAACGCUAACACCUUAUAUGCCUUUAUUACAUAAGUAAGCAAGGGAAACAUUUAUGGCUCUAGGAUGAGACUGUACGGUAUCAGCUAGUUGGUGAGGUAAUGGCUCACCAAGGCAAUGACACCUAACUGGUUUGAGAGGAUGAUCAGUCACACUGGAACUGAGACACGGUCCAGACUCCUACGGGAGGCAGCAGUGGGGAAUAUUGCACAAUGGAGGAAACUCUGAUGCAGCAACGCCGCGUGGAGGAUGACACUUUUCGGAGCGUAAACUCCUUUUAUAUGGGAAGAUAAUGACGGUACCAUAUGAAUAAGCACCGGCUAACU